Molecule: long non-coding RNA, 1212 nt
Filed under: Urocitellus parryii (Arctic ground squirrel)
Lineage: Eukaryota; Metazoa; Chordata; Mammalia; Rodentia; Sciuridae
Description: lncRNA (ENSUPAG00010023911.1)
Source: RNAcentral
GAUCCUGGAAGCCAUUCAAGAUCAGAUGUAAGGAUCAGGCCUUGGGUGGUUGGUUGACUGGUUCCAGGUGUUCACGCCCUCUGUCUCUGCCUGCCAGAUGCGGAUCAUCACCAUCAUCAUUUCAUCCAUAAAGAUUUUUGCGGCACAAGCAGCAUCUUACGGAGGCUGGAGAGCAGAGGAAACUGCGCAGUCCUGUGUAGCCUUGGUGCCUGGGUUGAGGACCGUGCUGGAAUUGAACUCAGAGAUGAGUCCAUGGUGCCUGAGACUGCAGUCCAGCCUCCGUCCAGCUCAGCUGCAGACAGGGCCCCAGGCAGCAUGGGCUGGGGUACAACAUGGGCUGAGCACAGUGAACGCACUGAUUAAAGCAGCCCCUGGGGUGGGGGGACUCUGGAUGAUCAGCCUAACAGCCACACUAAAGAAACAGCAAUAAAGGAAAGAAUUAAAACCUGUUGUAUGAAAUGUCUGGAGUACAAAAAUAGAAAACAAAAAAGCAGAAAAAUGUGCCACAUCCCAAAGAGAAAGCACAAUCAGUAAAAGCAGACUACGAGAUGAUCAGUUAUUGAAAUUAGCUAAUGAGGAUUUUUAAAUAACUAUUAUAAAUGUGUUCAAGAAUUUACAAGGAAAAGUGGGUAUCAUGUAUUACAAUGGAAUAUUUUAUAAGAGAAMUGUAACUACAGAAAAAGAAUGGAAGGAAAAUUCUAGAACUGAAAAAUGAAAUAUUUGAGAUUAAAAAUUCACUUGUGGGUUUAAGAGCAGAAUGAACACUGAAGACCAAAGGUCAGUAAUCUUGAAAAUGACCCAGAAGCAGAAAUUAUUUCAAGUGGGGCUUGAAAUGAACAGAACCUCAGUGCCCUGUGCCUUAUACUAGAUACACGUGUGCUCUUAUAACCCUAGAUGUCAGAGAGAAUGAGAUCCACAAUACUUAGAUAUGUAAUGGUUGAAUGUUUCUGAUUUUUAAAAAAUAUUAUUUAUUUUUACAGCUUUAAUUAAUUAAUUAAUUAAUUAAUUAAUUUUUAUGUGGUGCUAAGAAUCAAACCCAGUGCUUCCUACAUGCUAGGCAAGCAUUCUACCACUUAGCUACAACAGCAAUCCCUCUCAUUUUGAUAUGAUAAAAUAUCUUCCACAUAUUUAAGAAGUUUAGUGAAUACCAAGCAGUACUGCACUUAUGCAUGUAAUAAUAAAAUUUCUUAAAACCAAAAUUAUGAAAAUAUU